AUUGAACGCUGGCGGCAGGCCUAACACAUGCAAGUCGAGCGGAUGAAGGGAGCUUGCUCCUGGAUUCAGCGGCGGACGGGUGAGUAAUGCCUAGGAAUCUGCCUGGUCGUGGGGGAUAACGUCCGGAAACGGGCGCUAAUACCGCAUACGUCCUGAGGGAGAAAGUGGGGGAUCUUCGGACCUCACGCUCUCAGAUGAGCCUAGGUCGGAUUAGCUAGUUGGUGGGGUAAAGGCCUACCAAGGCGACGAUCCGUAACUGGUCUGAGAGGAUGAUCAGUCACACUGGAACUGAGACACGGUCCAGACUCCUACGGGAGGCAGCAGUGGGGAAUAUUGGACAAUGGGCGAAAGCCUGAUCCAGCCAUGCCGCGUGUGUGAAGAAGGUCUUCGGAUUGUAAAGCACUUUAAGUUGGGAGGAAGGGCAGUAAGUUAAUACCUUGCUGUUUUGACGUUACCAACAGAAUAAGCACCGGCUAACUUCGUG
This 484-nucleotide ribosomal RNA is filed under the name uncultured bacterium. RNAcentral's name for it is "partial 16S ribosomal RNA". It matches the Rfam family "Bacterial small subunit ribosomal RNA", at positions 30 to 507 of the family's 1533-position model. The record is from RNAcentral.